GAUCNGGCUCAGGAUAAACGCUGGCGGCGCACAUAAGACAUGCAAGUCGAACGAACUUAACCAUUAGUUUACUAUUGGAGCGGUUAGUGGCGGACUGGUGAGUAACACGUAAGCAACCUGCCUAUCAGAGGGGAACAACAGUUAGAAAUGACUGCUAAUACCGCAUAUGCCUUGAGUAUCACAUGGUACAAAAGGGAAAGGAGCAAUCCGCUGAUAGAUGGGCUUGCGU
This 229-nucleotide ribosomal RNA is filed under the name uncultured bacterium. RNAcentral describes it as "partial 16S ribosomal RNA". It matches the Rfam family "Bacterial small subunit ribosomal RNA", at positions 15 to 236 of the family's 1533-position model. The record is from RNAcentral.